GGCAGCCGCGGUAAUUCCAGCUCCAAUAGCGUAUAUUAAAGUUGUUGCAGUUAAAAAGCUCGUAGUUGAAUUUCGGAAUCUGUCCAUCGGUCGGGCUUCACUGUUCGUACUGGUGUGGUGGGUUCUUACCUUCUGAAUAACCAGCAUGCCAUUAAUUUGGUGCGUUGGGGAAGCAGGACUAUUACCUUAGAAAAAAUUAGAGUGCUCAAAGCAGGCCAGUGCCUGAAUACAUUAGCAG
Molecule: ribosomal RNA, 238 nt
Filed under: uncultured Acaulosporaceae
Lineage: Eukaryota; Fungi; Glomeromycota; Glomeromycetes; Diversisporales; Acaulosporaceae
Description: partial 18S ribosomal RNA
Rfam family: Eukaryotic small subunit ribosomal RNA
Source: RNAcentral